UGGCUUGGGUGCUGGGUAUUGAACUCAGGUCCUCUGGGAGAGCAGUACUCAUUCCUAACUGGUGGCUGUCUCACUAGCCUCCAAGGGAUGGUUUUUUGUUUGUUUUUGUUUUUGUUUUGUUUGUUUGUUUUUUGAGAUUGAGGCCAGACCCAUAAGCACUGGAGAACUUGCAACAGGCCACUCACAAUCUUUGUCAGAGACGAGGUGGCCUGGAGGCUCUCCGGUCGCAGUCAGCCACACCUCUUGGGAAGGCUUUCCGGGGUCCAUGAAGUGCCCCCAUGCUUACCUUGGAAUUUCCUAUCCAGAUCGCUGAGAUGCUUAAGGACGCCUUUACCUGGCUCCUUCAUUCCUAGCCUCCUGUUCCUGGUGUUAUUUUUAAAGUUUCACAUUGUAAA
Mus caroli (Ryukyu mouse) is the source of this 395-nucleotide long non-coding RNA. RefSeq lists it as uncharacterized. Lineage: Eukaryota; Metazoa; Chordata; Mammalia; Rodentia; Muridae. The record is from RefSeq and is a predicted model, not a curated record.